RNAcentral lists this long non-coding RNA (4805 nucleotides) under Homo sapiens (human). RNAcentral describes it as "HSALNT0142438". The record is from RNAcentral. Lineage: Eukaryota; Metazoa; Chordata; Mammalia; Primates; Hominidae.
CCACUGUGACGUAACACGUCAGAAAACGUCAUAGACACCGCCCACUCGGCGAACUGUCUCCGAGCGGAGCCGGGCUGGAUUGGAUUGGACCCCUGGGCGGGAAAGGACGGACGGGUUAAGUAGCCAAUCACCAAUUGCGCUCCAGCCAGAGGGGCGAUGUUCUUGGGGAGCCUGGGGAUCUGGAAGAAGUUCAGUGUGAGGACGAGUGUUAGGAAAUAAGGCUGAAGACAGAGGCAACCCUGGAGGAUCUUCUAACCCAUGUCAAGCAGUUGAGAAUUUAUGGAGUGAAAUAGCAAGCCAUUGAAGAGUUUCAAGCUUUCAUCCAGCUUUUAAGGGAAACUAAUAUCUCAUGAAAUUGUGAGGGCCUGGAAUCUUCAAAGAGCCAAGGAUUCUGCCAGACUGAGCAAUAGACUUGAUGAGCAUUCUCCACUUAAGAUCUGAACUAUGAGAAGUCGAAUCAAAGCAGUUCUUUUGUAAUUCCAAACAGCCAUUUAGACAUAUGAAGAAAUGAAAGUAAAGCAGUUCUAAAGACAAGGAAGAGGGUCAAUGAAAGGUGCUCCCAAUGCAAUCACAAAGAUCUUUAAAAGUGGAAGAAGGUGGGAGAGGUCAGAGUGAUACGAAGAGAACUCAGUCUACCACUGCUGGCUUUGAAGAUGGAAGAAUGGGGCUAUGAGCCCUGGAUUGCGGGCAGCCUGCAGAAGCUGGGGCAGAGAUUCCACACAGGCACCUCUAGAAAAUAAUGCAGCCAGCCAAUCCUUAGACUUUAUCCCAGUGAGAGUCAAGUUGGACUUCUGACCUACAAAAGAGUAAAUAUCUAAAUUAUCUGUGGCAACAACUUGGUGGGGUCAACUCGAAUGUUUUUGUCGGCUGUUCUUGAAGACUUCUGGGUCUCUACAACCACAUUCUUUGGCUGGUGCCAGUGUUUAAGCACUCUGAAACUGCAUAGCAGCAUGUUUGAAGGUGGCCUGUCAAAUUUGGGAAACUGACGGUGUGACUGAGCUAGUCACAGGGGUCUUCACAGAAAAGGCAGUCGGGGUCCUGGUCAACUGGAGAUUCCAUCUGAAUGUGAAUGGAUUUAAAAGGUGACUGGAACACUUCUUUCUGACCUCAGAGAUGUGAUGGAUGUCCGGGAAGAUUUUCUCAAGGGCUAGAAAGUGAAGUCAUUAAGACUAGAGCUCCAGGCUUCUUCAUCCAACUCCAAGGGUUCCCAGCAACAUGUGAAGUCCUCUAUCUGUCACUAAGAAGCCGUAUGAGAAGAAUACACCUUGGCAGCUGCUGGAUCAAGGCAAAUGAGAGACCCAUGGAGCUCACUAAAUCCAACUCUACAGCUUGGAGCUAAGCCUAACUUAGCCAAGUCUAAACCAGUUUGACCUCAGCCAAUUCACAGAUGUUUGAGCCAGAAGUAAGGUGCUUGUUGCUGGAAGCCAGUUAAAUUUUGAGAUCUUUUUGAAAAAUAUAUUGUCAUUGCAGACAUAGAUGCACAUAGUUUUCCACACUGUGGGAAGUCAAAUUAAGCAUGCUUAGACUUUUAAAGCAGAAGCCCAUUAUUAGUGGGGUGGCAAAAAUGUUACAAGUGACAUAGUCCUCCAAUUUCCUUCUUCUAGCCCUCUGCCUAAGAACUAGUGUACUUCAUUUUGAAGUGGAGCCCUAACGGGAGUGUUCAUCUUCUGUCAACAGGGUUAAGCCUCUUGACGCUUACUGGGCACUCACAGUUGUUAGUUCCCUGGAAGACAUGAAAGAGCUUGAUUGGUUCUGUAGUCGUCAGUCAAUAACCAACUGUAACAUACCUACACUUCCAACAAAAUCUUGAUUUGGGAAAUUGAGUGUCUGCUUAUAGUUAAUCCUCUAUUUUUUGACACCUAGUAGGAAAAACAUUUUCAAAAGAGCCAUGACCUGACUCAGUUAAUAUGCAAGGAAAAAUAAGCAGUUCCAAACUUGUCAGUUUAUCCAUCAUCCCUUAUCCAAAAUCCUUCAACUCUCUUGGAAUUAUUUUGUUCUUCAUACUUGCCCAACAAAUAUCUUACUCUUGUCUUGGACUUUAUUUUAUAGUUAUCUCACAUAAGCUCCUUGUGGCUAAGGGCACAUAUUUGGAAUCAGACUACCCUAGUUCAACUCUUGGGUCUACCAUUUAUUAGCUUGUAUUACUUUGGGAAAGAUAAUUAAAUUCUCCAGAUCUAAUUUCCCCCAUUAUAAGAUAAUAAUAGUUAUUACCUGCUAGGAUUGUCUUGAGAAGUAAAUUAGAUAAUUCAUAAGAACCAUUUAACACAGUGCCAGCCACAUAAUGAAGGCAUAGUAAGGGAAAGUUAUUAUGCUGUUGAUAAUACUUGUCUAGGCAGGGGUCUCAUAUUUUUCCCUGUAUCCAUUACUGUACAAUUCAUCUGUCCCAUGACAUUCUAAGAUUGUUUUAGAGUGAGUUGCUUCAGAGUUGAAUAAUUCUAAUAAUAUAUUCUCAUGUUUGGAAACAACUUGGAAUUCCAUUUAGUGUAGACAUCAACAAUGAAAUCGCUAGAGGAUGAGUAAUUUCUACAAUUUUUAUUCAUUAUAGAGAGACCAAUGGGUAUAAUGGUGAAAAGAACUGAGUAGAAGGUCAGGAGGUCAAAGAGACUGAGUUUAAACCCUCACUCUGCUGAGUACUGUUAAUAAUGGUAUGAUCUUAAGAGAACUAAUCUUUAGUUUUUCCCACCUUAAAAACAGAGUUGUCAUGAGUAUUUAAUAAUAGAGGGUAGUAUGUAAACUUCCUGGCAUAUAGCAACUGCUCAACAAAUAGAAGUUAUAGUUUUUUCUUAACUUGCCAAAGAGCCAAGGGAAAAAUGAAGAUUUUGUAGCCAAAGCCAUUUAUCUUUCUCUGUUAUGUGCCUAUCUGUUCCAGAAACAGAAUCAAUUCCUUGAACCUCAUCAAAGGAAGGAUUUGAACAUUUAAAAAAAAAUCAAUCUCUUUGGGUUUGUUAUUGCUUGUUUCCCAUACCUCAGAGACACAAAUACAAACCUUUAUAAUGUCAUCAGGAAGAAGAGGAGUCAAACACUCCUUAACUCAAUAAUUGCAAUGUUAUUAUUUUGCAAGGAAUAGAGUCAAAAUUCCAUUCACAUGAGGACUGUAACUUCUUCAUUACUCCUUGAGGCACGAUGUCCUUGAUUUUAAGUAGCUCAUGUAGAAACUAGUUGUAAGUCUUUAGCGGAGAGACUGUACUGGAAUUAUAGGAUCUACUUAGGGGUUUGAGCUUCCCCACCCACUUAGAGUGACAGUUCACACCUAUAAAAACACAAAAGUCCGGGGGUUUAUUAAACAUUAGGAGAUCCAAAGAGCCAAGACUUCUACCUGUAAAAGUGGUGCUUCCUAAGCAGAAGAAAUGGAAUUUCUCAGAGAAUACAGCUUGGCUUGACCAAUGGACUGUACAAGGAAGAUUAGGAGGUAAUUACUGGGGUAAAAGAGAAAUGGUUGCAUCUUUCUGGAACACUCUAAUAAAACUGAAAGUUUUUCCUGAUUUCUUCUUUUAUUUGAUACAAGGGUCAAAUUUGAUACAUAAAGUCAUAAUGUCCCACAUGUACUUCUCAGGAACAUCUGUUUAGUCCUACUACAAAACUUGGGGAACAUGGUUUCCUAAUGUGGUACCAGUCGUCUCUUCAUGGAUGACUUCAGGAAGAAAUUCUGACUGGCAGACUCCACAAGUAUAAGACAAUAAGAGGCCAAUUUCUUUAUUCUUCUCCUCUUCUCCGCUUGUCCCCCCACCUCAUUAGCUUUGGGAGAAUAACACAGUGUGGAACAGAAAAAUAAGGAGCCUUGUUGUACUUCAUUGGCCUCAAGAGGUCUCAUCUAUUAAAUAGAUCCAUUAUGUUACUCUCAGAGAAAAUUAUAGUCAAAAAUAUUUCAAGUUUUAGGGCAGUACUGAAUAUAUAAGGGCUCUGUUACUUAAUCUCUGUGCUCUUAUCUUGGGGCGGCAAAGCUCAGUAGGGCUAUCUUGAAAGUAGCCUGAAAUCAAUUGGUCAGAUGAAAUCAAUUGGUCAGGAGGAGCCCAUCAGGAGGAUCAAGGACAUGGGUGACACAGUGAGUGUAAUUAUUAGUCAGGAUAGGUUAGGUUAGGCAUUAGUGGCAAAUUAUCUCCAAAUCUCAGUGGCUUGGUACAAUAAAGGCUUAUUGCUUAUUCAUGCAGCAUGUCUACUGCAGGUCCACAAGGGCUCUGUUCCACUCACAGAUCCAGAUUGUAACAUUCUUUGCCAUCUCAUAGCUACAUGAUCUAAACAUCAGCAGAAGGAAAGUGUCUUGGGUCAGGCUACCUGGAAAACAGAUCAAGAUAAAGAUUUCUGUGCAAAAAGGUUAUUGGGGAGGGAACUCUAAUUGAUAUCUGCCAGGGAUAGUGCAAGAAUGGUUGAGCAGACAAUUGUUGAACUACUUACUAUGUAUGUAGUAACAACAAAGGUCUUGACCAACCCAAAAGGGAGUCCUGGAGCUCAAAUGGUUCUUCACAGUUCUCUCACCUUAAGGCAAGGGACCUGGGCCUUUAUUAUCCCUUAUCAACCAGUCAUUUGAUUAGCUUGACCCCAGAGAGAGGUUAUGACCUUGAGUAAAGUGGCUCUCCUCUACUGAGGAUAAUUCCAGGAGAGCAACUCAGCUGAGAGCUGUCAGCAAUGGGAGGAAUCAGAGUCUCAGUCCUGAAGAGCAGAUCUGGGCAGCAUAUCAUAGCAUCCACCACAAGGGGGAAAGUGCGUGCACUUUUCAUUGCCUCCACCUGGGAGUGACAUAUGCCAUUUUUUGCUGUCAUUUCAAUGACCAAAAGGAGUCACAUGAUUCUAAUUGGAAGGAACCUGGG